This 877-nucleotide long non-coding RNA is filed under the name Agrilus planipennis (emerald ash borer). RNAcentral's name for it is "uncharacterized LOC108734768, transcript variant X5". The record is from RNAcentral. Lineage: Eukaryota; Metazoa; Arthropoda; Insecta; Coleoptera; Buprestidae.
GUAAUAUUUUAGAAUAUGUAUUUUAGAUAUGUUUAGGGUGCGUAAACAAUGGAUUUUUAGCGUAGUGUGGUGCAUAGAUGUGGAUUUUAAAAAAAAUGGUACUUCUAGUAUAUCUAACAAUUAGUGCUGUUUUGGGACCUCUUCAUCUCAAACUUUAUUAAGGAUAUAGUACCCGGAGUAGGAGGUCAACGGAUUGGAUCAAGCUACAGAGACAGUGUAUUUCAUUCCUGUCUUAAGAAACCUUGUUGUCUAAACUAGAAACGAUUGUGUGGUGAAAAAUAGGACAUAACAGAUUGGAUCCAAAGGUAGGAUGGUUUAAAUUUGAUGAAUGAACUGUUUUUGCAUUCAAAUAAUUGGACUAAUUUCUGGCUGUUUCUAGUACCUGCUUUAUUCAUUUAUUUAUUCAUCAACAAGGAUAAAAACUUCGGAUGCCAUUAAGUUAAGGAGUCUUGGUUGUUUCAGUCUUCAUUCGCUUCAGAAAGUAGCUGUAUCUAUGUUCCCAAAGAAAGCAUGAAAAUGCCUUUUUCCCAUUGGAAAUUGUUUGUUACAAAAAGGAAAAGUUUAUGAGAAUCAAUUGAUUAUUCAUGAGGAGGAAUUACAGUUAAUUGAAACAACCGAUGCUUUUGACGCAAGGGAAAGACAACUGGAAAUGAAUUUGGAAACCACCAAAACAACAGAUCGUCUGCCGUGGUAUCCCUCCUGGAUUUGGCUUGUGCAUUACACUUAUGGGCUUUACAUCACUGAAACAUGUUUUCUGCUAUGAUAUUCCUUCUGGAUUUAGUUUGCUUUUCACACAUGCAAACUUGGGAACUUUACAGUAGUCUACUGUUUACUAAGAUCGACGUUGGAGAAGACAAAGAUGACCCAGUAGUUGAAA